RNAcentral lists this small RNA (253 nucleotides) under uncultured bacterium. RNAcentral describes it as "contains 16S-23S intergenic spacer region". It matches the Rfam family "Bacterial small subunit ribosomal RNA", at positions 524 to 776 of the family's 1533-position model. The record is from RNAcentral.
UACGUAGGGGGCGAGCGUUGUUCGGAAUUACUGGGCGUAAAGAGCGCGUAGGCGGUCAAGUAAGUCAGGCGUGAAAUCCCUCAGCUUAACUGAGGUUUGGCGCUUGAAACUAUCUGACUUGAGUUUAGGAGAGGAGAGUGGAAUUCCCAGUGUAGCGGUGAAAUGCGUAGAUAUUGGGAGGAACACCUGUGGCGAAGGCGGCUCUCUGGACUAAUACUGACGCUGAGGCGCGAAAGCUAGGGGAGCAAACGGG